GAUUGCCAGAUAGGUGGUGGUGGUUUCUUUCUUGGAGACUGCAAUGAUGGUUUGUGCCAGCUUUGGAAAACAGUUGUCGUAGCUGUUGUUAUAUGGCAAUGAUGGUUUGUGCCAGAGUUGGAAAACUUGUCUAGCUGGUACUAGAGUCAGCUCCCUCGUCUCCAUCCUGGUUUGUGUGUGUCAUCAUCGAUUGCAAGACACAGAAUACAGAAGCAAUGGAUAAAACCGAUACGACACAUUCCCUGCUUUUAAUAUCUGAAGAAUUAAUGCAGCAGGACACAGCUCAUCACUCAGAAAGAUCUAUGAGGCAGCUGCUCUAAUACUUCUGCUCACGUCAGAUAGUGGGAUGAACUCUACAAGCGCUGAUCUUCUAGAGUGUAAAACAUUUAUGUGUUGAAACGCCCAAUAAUAAAAUACA
Molecule: long non-coding RNA, 418 nt
Organism: Carassius gibelio (silver crucian carp)
Lineage: Eukaryota; Metazoa; Chordata; Actinopteri; Cypriniformes; Cyprinidae
Exons: 3
Source: RefSeq, a predicted model, not a curated record